Molecule: transfer RNA, 76 nt
Filed under: Marseillevirus LCMAC101
Lineage: Varidnaviria; Bamfordvirae; Nucleocytoviricota; Megaviricetes; Pimascovirales; Marseilleviridae
Description: tRNA-Cys
Rfam family: tRNA
About the family: Transfer RNA (tRNA) molecules are approximately 80 nucleotides in length. Their secondary structure includes four short double-helical elements and three loops (D, anti-codon, and T loops). Further hydrogen bonds mediate the characteristic L-shaped molecular structure. tRNAs have two regions of fundamental functional importance: the anti-codon, which is responsible for specific mRNA codon recognition, and the 3' end, to which the tRNAs corresponding amino acid is attached (by aminoacyl-tRNA synthetases). tRNAs cope with the degeneracy of the genetic code in two manners: having more than one tRNA (with a specific anti-codon) for a particular amino acid; and 'wobble' base-pairing, i.e. permitting non-standard base-pairing at the 3rd anti-codon position.
Source: RNAcentral
AGUUUUGUAACUCAGUUGGUAGAGUGAUUAGGUCUACACAGCCUAAAUGCCGUGGGUUCGAUUCCCACCAAAACCA